AUGCUAGUAGUGCGAAUGGAUUAAGAGCUUGCUCUUAUGAAGUUAGCGGCGGACGGGUGAGUAACACGUGGGUAACCUGCCCAUAAGACUGGGAUAACUCCGGGAAACCGGGGCUAAUACCGGAUAACAUUUUGAACCGCAUGGUUCGAAAUUGAAAGGCGGCUUCGGCUGUCACUUAUGGAUGGACCCGCGUCGCAUUAGCUAGUUGGUGAGGUAACGGCUCACCAAGGCAACGAUGCGUAGCCGACCUGAGAGGGUGAUCGGCCACACUGGGACUGAGACACGGCCCAGACUCCUACGGGAGGCAGCAGUAGGGAAUCUUCCGCAAUGGACGAAAGUCUGACGGAGCAACGCCGCGUGAGUGAUGAAGGCUUUCGGGUCGUAAAACUCUGUUGUUAGGGAAGAACAAGUGCUAGUUGAAUAAGCUGGCACCUUGACGGUACCUAACCAGAAAGCCACGGCUAACUACGUGCCAGCAGCCGCGGUAAUACGUAGGUGGCAAGCGUUAUCCGGAAUUAUUGGGCGUAAAGCGCGCGCAGGUGGUUUCUUAAGUCUGAUGUGAAAGCCCACGGCUCAACCGUGGAGGGUCAUUGGAAACUGGGAGACUUGAGUGCAGAAGAGGAAAGUGGAAUUCCAUGUGUAGCGGUGAAAUGCGUAGAGAUAUGGAGGAACACCAGUGGCGAAGGCGACUUUCUGGUCUGUAACUGACACUGAGGCGCGAAAGCGUGGGGAGCAUACAGGAUUAGAUACCUUGGUAGUCCAA
This 763-nucleotide ribosomal RNA is filed under the name Bacillus cereus. RNAcentral describes it as "bacterial SSU rRNA". It matches the Rfam family "Bacterial small subunit ribosomal RNA", at positions 55 to 798 of the family's 1533-position model. The record is from RNAcentral. Lineage: Bacteria; Bacillati; Bacillota; Bacilli; Caryophanales; Bacillaceae.